GACGAACGCUGGCGGCGUGCUUAACACAUGCAAGUCGAACGGAAAGGCCCUGCUUUUGUGGGGUGCUCGAGUGGCGAACGGGUGAGUAACACGUGAGUAACCUGCCCUUGACUUUGGGAUAACUUCAGGAAACUGGGGCUAAUACCGGAUAGGAGCUCCUGCUGCAUGGUGGGGGUUGGAAAGUUUCGGCGGUUGGGGAUGGACUCGCGGCUUAUCAGCUUGUUGGUGGGGUAGUGGCUUACCAAGGCUUUGACGGGUAGCCGGCCUGAGAGGGUGACCGGCCACAUUGGGACUGAGAUACGGCCCAGACUCCUACGGGAGGCAGCAGUGGGGAAUAUUGCACAAUGGGCGGAAGCCUGAUGCAGCAACGACGCGUGCGGGAUGACGGCCUUCGGGUUGUAAGCCGCUUUCGCCUGUGACGAAGCGUGAGUGACGGUAAUGGGUAAAGAAGCACCGGCUAACUACGUG
This 468-nucleotide ribosomal RNA is filed under the name uncultured bacterium. Its description in RNAcentral is "partial 16S ribosomal RNA". It matches the Rfam family "Bacterial small subunit ribosomal RNA", at positions 28 to 507 of the family's 1533-position model. The record is from RNAcentral.